This 1462-nucleotide ribosomal RNA is filed under the name Limosilactobacillus reuteri. Its description in RNAcentral is "partial 16S ribosomal RNA". It matches the Rfam family "Bacterial small subunit ribosomal RNA". The record is from RNAcentral. Lineage: Bacteria; Bacillati; Bacillota; Bacilli; Lactobacillales; Lactobacillaceae.
CGCACUGGCCCAACUGAUUGAUGGUGCUUGCACCUGAUUGACGAUGGAUCACCAGUGAGUGGCGGACGGGUGAGUAACACGUAGGUAAUCUGCCCCGGAGCGGGGGAUAACAUUUGGAAACAGAUGCUAAUACCGCAUAACAACAAAAGCCACAUGGCUUUUGCUUGAAAGAUGGCUUUGGCUAUCACUCUGGGAUGGACCUGCGGUGCAUUAGCUAGUUGGUAAGGUAACGGCUUACCAAGGCGAUGAUGCAUAGCCGAGUUGAGAGACUGAUCGGCCACAAUGGAACUGAGACACGGUCCAUACUCCUACGGGAGGCAGCAGUAGGGAAUCUUCCACAAUGGGCGCAAGCCUGAUGGAGCAACACCGCGUGAGUGAAGAAGGGUUUCGGCUCGUAAAGCUCUGUUGUUGGAGAAGAACGUGCGUGAGAGUAACUGUUCACGCAGUGACGGUAUCCAACCAGAAAGUCACGGCUAACUACGUGCCAGCAGCCGCGGUAAUACGUAGGUGGCAAGCGUUAUCCGGAUUUAUUGGGCGUAAAGCGAGCGCAGGCGGUUGCUUAGGUCUGAUGUGAAAGCCUUCGGCUUAACCGAAGAAGUGCAUCGGAAACCGGGCGACUUGAGUGCAGAAGAGGACAGUGGAACUCCAUGUGUAGCGGUGGAAUGCGUAGAUAUAUGGAAGAACACCAGUGGCGAAGGCGGCUGUCUGGUCUGCAACUGACGCUGAGGCUCGAAAGCAUGGGUAGCGAACAGGAUUAGAUACCCUGGUAGUCCAUGCCGUAAACGAUGAGUGCUAAGGGGUGUUGGAGGGUUUCCGCCCUUCAGUGCCGGAGCUAACGCAUUAAGCACUCCGCCUGGGGAGUACGACCGCAAGGUUGAAACUCAAAGGAAUUGACGGGGGCCCGCACAAGCGGUGGAGCAUGUGGUUUAAUUCGAAGCUACGCGAAGAACCUUACCAGGUCUUGACAUCUUGCGCUAACCUUAGAGAUAAGGCGUUCCCUUCGGGGACGCAAUGACAGGUGGUGCAUGGUCGUCGUCAGCUCGUGUCGUGAGAUGUUGGGUUAAGUCCCGCAACGAGCGCAACCCUUGUUACUAGUUGCCAGCAUUAAGUUGGGCACUCUAGUGAGACUGCCGGUGACAAACCGGAGGAAGGUGGGGACGACGUCAGAUCAUCAUGCCCCUUAUGACCUGGGCUACACACGUGCUACAAUGGACGGUACAACGAGUCGCAAGCUCGCGAGAGUAAGCUAAUCUCUUAAAGCCGUUCUCAGUUCGGACUGUAGGCUGCAACUCGCCUACACGAAGUCGGAAUCGCUAGUAAUCGCGGAUCAGCAUGCCGCGGUGAAUACGUUCCCGGGCCUUGUACACACCGCCCGUCACACCAUGGGAGUUUGUAACGCCCAAAGUCGGUGGCCUAACCUUUAUGGAGGGAGCCGCCUAAGGCGGGACAGAUGACUGGGGUG